Molecule: ribosomal RNA, 604 nt
Filed under: Microbacterium sp.
Lineage: Bacteria; Bacillati; Actinomycetota; Actinomycetes; Micrococcales; Microbacteriaceae
Description: bacterial SSU rRNA
Rfam family: Bacterial small subunit ribosomal RNA
Source: RNAcentral
UGAAGCAGAGCUUGCUCUGUGGAUCAGUGGCGAACGGGUGAGUAACACGUGAGCAAUCUGCCCCUGACUCUGGGAUAAGCGCUGGAAACGGCGUCUAAUACUGGAUACGAGCCGUGAAGGCAUCUUCAACGGUUGGAAAGAUUUUUCGGUCAGGGAUGAGCUCGCGGCCUAUCAGCUUGUUGGUGAGGUAAUGGCUCACCAAGGCGUCGACGGGUAGCCGGCCUGAGAGGGUGACCGGCCACACUGGGACUGAGACACGGCCCAGACUCCUACGGGAGGCAGCAGUGGGGAAUAUUGCACAAUGGGCGCAAGCCUGAUGCAGCAACGCCGCGUGAGGGAUGACGGCCUUCGGGUUGUAAACCUCUUUUAGCAGGGAAGAAGCGAAAGUGACGGUACCUGCAGAAAAAGCGCCGGCUAACUACGUGCCAGCAGCCGCGGUAAUACGUAGGGCGCAAGCGUUAUCCGGAAUUAUUGGGCGUAAAGAGCUCGUAGGCGGUUUGUCGCGUCUGCUGUGAAAUCCCGAGGCUCAACCUCGGGUCUGCAGUGGGUACGGGCAGACUAGAGUGCGGUAGGGGAGAUUGGAAUUCCUGGUGUAGCGGUGGAA